GCCUGGGUGGCUCAGUAGGUUAAGCAUCCGACUUUGGCUCAGGUCAUGAUUUCAUGGGUUCGAACCCCAUGUCGGGCU
This 78-nucleotide transfer RNA is filed under the name Felis catus (domestic cat). It matches the Rfam family "tRNA". From Rfam's summary of the family: Transfer RNA (tRNA) molecules are approximately 80 nucleotides in length. Their secondary structure includes four short double-helical elements and three loops (D, anti-codon, and T loops). Further hydrogen bonds mediate the characteristic L-shaped molecular structure. tRNAs have two regions of fundamental functional importance: the anti-codon, which is responsible for specific mRNA codon recognition, and the 3' end, to which the tRNAs corresponding amino acid is attached (by aminoacyl-tRNA synthetases). tRNAs cope with the degeneracy of the genetic code in two manners: having more than one tRNA (with a specific anti-codon) for a particular amino acid; and 'wobble' base-pairing, i.e. permitting non-standard base-pairing at the 3rd anti-codon position. The record is from Rfam by way of RNAcentral. Lineage: Eukaryota; Metazoa; Chordata; Mammalia; Carnivora; Felidae.